CUACCAAGGCAAUGAUCUAUAGCUGAUCUGAGAGGAUGAUCAGCCACACUGGAACUGAGAUACGGUCCAGACUCCUACGGGAGGCAGCAGUGGGGAAUAUUGGACAAUGGGCGAAAGCCUGAUCCAGCCAUGCCGCAUGAGUGAAGAAGGCCUUCGGGUUGUAAAGCUCUUUUAGUGAGGAAGAUAAUGACGGUACUUACAGAAGAAGUCCUGGCUAACUCCGUGCCAGCAGCCGCGGUAAUACGGAAAGGGCUAGCGUUAUUCGGAAUCAUUGGGCGUAAAGGGCGCGUAUGCGGAUUAGUAAGUUAAAAGUGAAAUCCCAAGGCUCAACCUUGGAAUUGCUUUUAAAACUGCUAAUCUAGAGAUUGAAAGAGGAUAGAGGAAUUCCUAGUGUAGAGGUGAAAUUCGUAAAUAUUAGGAGGAACACCAGUGGCGAAGGCGUCUAUCUGGUUCAAAUC
Molecule: ribosomal RNA, 458 nt
Filed under: Wolbachia sp.
Lineage: Bacteria; Pseudomonadati; Pseudomonadota; Alphaproteobacteria; Rickettsiales; Anaplasmataceae
Description: bacterial SSU rRNA
Rfam family: Bacterial small subunit ribosomal RNA
Source: RNAcentral